Molecule: long non-coding RNA, 1848 nt
Organism: Equus asinus (donkey)
Lineage: Eukaryota; Metazoa; Chordata; Mammalia; Perissodactyla; Equidae
Source: Ensembl
UUGUUUUGUAUAUUCGCAAAUCUCUUUAAUGUCUGGCUUAAUCAAGACAGCUGGAUUCUCAGAUCUGCUUCUGCAUUCAGUGUGGUACAAUAUCUUGUUCUGGUUAAAAUGUAUAAAGAAAAUCUGCCUUGCACAGAUAUGUAGUUGGAAAAGGAAGAAGUACUUUAACAGCCUUCUCAGAUAACCAUGCAUAUUCUCUGGUACUACACCAAAACUUGACAAGUGGUAAAGUGUGGCUGCAAAGCAAAAUCUGUAAACCCCAUCGAUGAACUUUUCUACUCUGUCACAUUAAAACCCACCGGUCUGUCUUGCACUUUGAAUGGAUCUUUUCCACAUGCAUGAUAUUAUGACAUUCAUUGUUCACUUGAAAACGAUUGCCUCACUGACUCAUGCAGAUCUUCCAAAUAUUGAUGGAUUUCCCUAGACAGCAUCCGCAAUUCAAAAUCAUUAGUACCACCACAGUUCUCAUCAGAGAUGUUUCAUGGGAAGAUGUCAAGCUCACCAUAGCAGAUAGUUUUCCAAACCUGAUUUCACUUAGCUUGAAUUUUAUCAUUGGCAACAAAUACUGCCAGUUGCUUUCCUUAAAGUGACAGGCUCACCUAGUCCAUUUUUUGGAAAACAUCCGCCACAGGCCCAAAUCUCAAUAACCAGGGUUUGUCAGUUGUUCUUUCAUGAAAAAAGCAAUGAGUAAUUCAGCUCACAAUUCAAACGAUCACACAUGUGCUUUUGCUUGACGUUGCCUUCAACCCUGUGCUUUCCGAUGCAGCCAAAGUGUUUUAUAUGCACUUCCCACUUUUUUUACACAGAUUAUUAUAAAGACACGUACUCAAGGGUCUAGACUUCAUAAAGUUAAUCAUUUUACUGCCUCAUUAAGGACGUUCUUAAGAAGUGAAACUGGCGUGUGUUUUAACGAGGGUGUGUGCUAGUGGAGAAGAUGAUGACUCCUUGUACACACCAGCGCUACUUUUUGGAUUUGUACUAAGAUGCCAGCAGUUUACCCACUACCAGUGCAAAUGUCAACAGGAUGAAAAAUACAAACAUGUCCCAGAGUUAUUAGGAAAAUAGUUUUGACCUCGAGGACCCCAUGAAAGAGUCUGGGGGACCCCCAACGGUCUGCAGACCACACUUGGAGACCUGCUAAGCUAGGGAUGUGAGGCAGUUUCCAUACCUCCAGAAACUCCCAAUCCGGCUGAGAAGAUAGACCACAAACAGACACAAUUACUACACGAUAUGAUGAGGGCCAGGCUGGAGGCACGGCAGAGAGAGCAACUUGCUUCGCACUGUGGAAACUGGCAAAGGUUUUGCAGUGUAGGGAACUUUUGAAAUGGGUCUUGAGAGCUGAGUAGGAGUUCAUCCAGAAAGAGAAGGUAGAUCUUCAUAUUCUCAGUUUCAGAAGGACAGGUCCUAGGAAGGCAAGGCUUUUGGAAACAAUAAAGGUGUGCAGUAAAGGAUACGAUAUGGCUCCCAGAAUCCCUGGGAGGGCCAGAGAUCCAGACUUGGAGAUGACAUGGAUAGGAGCCACACCCAAAAUCACACUACUGGACAUUCCAUGGAGACGCCACUGCCCCAAUGCUGGGACAGACAUGGCAUCAGGUGCCUCUGAUGCUGUCCAUGCAGGCUUGGAUACUCCUGUGGGACUCCACAAUGGCUGGCUUCCCCAGGACUUGUUUCUUCAUGUGCCUACCUGCUGCAUCAGAGUGCCAGAGUGACCCCUGAUGGCUGGAGUCCAGGCCACAUGUGGGGAAGCUGGUAGAUCAAGUCUCUGGGCUCUCAGGUAGAAGGGGUCUCUGCUUCUUGGCAAGACUCAUAAGCUGAGGGACUGCCCAAAUGCAGGAAGGGUGUUCAAAG